UGUCCCUAACAUAUGUGUACAAGUGUGAUGUAAGGUUUGUCUAACCUUGCAUGUACCCCGCGUUGACGAUUUCCGCAUACAUGGGCCGACACUUGGUAAAAUCCAGGAUUUGUAUGUGGAAACUCCUGCUACGGCUCAUCCGGGGCCUAUUUCAUUCCAAACCUAUGGUUUCCAUGUGCAUAUGUCCUAAACAAAGCAAAGCAAAUAAAAAAUCCAUUGGUAAACCCUCGCACGGAGAAAGCUAUAGGGGUAGAUCUGCAGGGUCCCCGCCCUAGGGUUUCCCAAGAUACAGAUCACCGGAGCGUCGGAAUCGCUUGAAAACUUGCAUUUGUCCCUAACAUAUGUGUACAAGUGUGAUGUAAGGUUUGUCUAACCUUGCAUGUACCCCGCGUUGACGAUUUCCGCAUACAUGGGCCGACACUUGGUAAAAUCCAGGAUUUGUAUGUGGAAACUCCUGCUACGGCUCAUCCGGGGCCUAUUUCAUUCCAAACCUAUGGUUUCCAUGUGCAUAUGUCCUAAACAAAGCAAAGCAAAUAAAAAAAUCCAUUGGUAAACCCUCGCACGGAGAAAGCUAUAGGGGUAGAUCUGCAGGGUCCCCGCCCUAGGGUUUCCCAAGAUACAGAUCACCGGAGCGUCGGAAUCGCUUGAAAACUUGCAUUUGUCCCUAACAUAUGUGUACAAGUGUGAUGUAAGGUUUGUCUAACCUUGCAUGUACCCCGCGUUGACGAUUUCCGCAUACAUGGGCCGACACUUGGUAAAAUCCAGGAUUUGUAUGUGGAAACUCCUGCUACGGCUCAUCCGGGGCCUAUUUCAUUCCAAACCUAUGGUUUCCAUGUGCAUAUGUCCUAAACAAAGCAAAGCAAAUAAAAAAACUCUCGCACGGAGAAAGCUAUAGGGGUAGAUCUACGGGGUCCCCGCCCUAGGGUUUCCCAAGAUACAGAUCACCGGAGCGUCAGAAUUGUUGGAAAACUUGCAUCUGCCCCUAACAUAUAUGUACAAGU
Lolium perenne is the source of this 1001-nucleotide non-coding RNA. The record is from RefSeq and is a predicted model, not a curated record. Lineage: Eukaryota; Viridiplantae; Streptophyta; Magnoliopsida; Poales; Poaceae.